UCCUUGGUAGUUCAGAUGGUAAAAAAUCCACCUGCCAUGUGGGAGACUUAGGUUCGAUCCCUGGCUUGGGAA
Bos taurus (domestic cattle) is the source of this 72-nucleotide non-coding RNA. The record is from Rfam. Lineage: Eukaryota; Metazoa; Chordata; Mammalia; Artiodactyla; Bovidae.